UGCCUCAGUAACGGCGAGUGAAGCGGCAAGAGCUCAAAUUUGAAAGCUGGCCCCUUCGGGGUCCGCGUUGUAAUUUGCAGAGGAUGCUUCGGGUGCGGCCCCUGUCUAAGUGCCCUGGAACGGGCCGUCAGAGAGGGUGAGAAUCCCGUCUUGGGCAGGGUGCCCGUGCCCGUGUGAAGCUCCUUCGACGAGUCGAGUUGUUUGGGAAUGCAGCUCUAAAUGGGUGGUAAAUUUCAUCUAAAGCUAAAUACCGGCCGGAGACCGAUAGCGCACAAGUAGAGUGAUCGAAAGAUGAAAAGCACUUUGAAAAGAGAGUUAAACAGCACGUGAAAUUGUUGAAAGGGAAGCGCUUGCGACCAGACUCGGCCCCGGGGUUCAGCCAGCACUCGUGCUGGUGUACUUCCCCGGGGGCGGGCCAGCGUCGGUUUGGGCGGCCGGUCAAAGGCCCCAGGAAUGUAUCGCCCUCCGGGGUUGUCUUAUAGCCUGGGGUGCAAUGCGGCCAGCCCGGACCGAGGAACGCGCUUCGGCACGGACGCUGGCGUAAUGGUCGCAAACGACCCGUCUUGAAACACGGACCAAGGAGUCUAACAUCUACGCGAGUGUUCGGGUGUCAAACCCGUACGCGCAGUGAAAGCGAACGGAGGUGGGAGCCCCCCCGGGGCGCACCAUCGACCGAUCCUGAUGUCUUCGGAUGGAUUUGAGUAAGAGCGUAGCUGUGGGGACCCGAAAGAUGGUGAACUAUGCCUGAAUAGGGCGAAGCCAGAGGAAACUCUGGUGGAGGCUCGCAGCGGUUCUGACGUGCAAAUCGAUCGUCAAAUUUGGGUAUAGGGGCGAAAGACUAAUCGAACCAUCUGGUAGCUGGUUCCUGCCGAAGUUUCCCUCAGGAUAGCAGUAACGCGGAUCAGUUUUAUGAGGUAAAGCGAAUGAUUAGAGGCAUUGGGGUUGAAACAACC
Molecule: ribosomal RNA, 953 nt
Filed under: Aspergillus corrugatus
Lineage: Eukaryota; Fungi; Ascomycota; Eurotiomycetes; Eurotiales; Aspergillaceae
Description: partial large subunit ribosomal RNA
Rfam family: Eukaryotic large subunit ribosomal RNA
Source: RNAcentral